UGCAGUCGAACGAUGAUCUCCCGCUUGCGGGGGUGAUUAGUGGCGAACGGGUGAGUAAUACGUGAGUAACCUGCCCUUGACUCUGGGAUAAGCCUGGGAAACCGGGUCUAAUACUGGAUACGACUCCUCAUCGCAUGGUGGGGGGUGGAAAGGGUUUGACUGGUUUUGGAUGGGCUCACGGCCUAUCAGCUUGUUGGUGGGGUAAUGGCUCACCAAGGCGACGACGGGUAGCCGGCCUGAGAGGGUGACCGGCCACACUGGGACUGAGACACGGCCCAGACUCCUACGGGAGGCAGCAGUGGGGAAUAUUGCACAAUGGGCGGAAGCCUGAUGCAGCGACGCCGCGUGAGGGAUGACGGCCUUCGGGUUGUAAACCUCUUUCAGCAGGGAAGAAGCCACAAGUGACGGUACCUGCAGAAGAAGCGCCGGCUAACUACGUGCCAGCAGCCGCGGUAAUACGUAGGGCGCAAGCGUUGUCCGGAAUUAUUGGGCGUAAAGAGCUCGUAGGCGGUUUGUCGCGUCUGCUGUGAAAGCCCGGGGCUCAACCCC
Molecule: ribosomal RNA, 549 nt
Filed under: bacterium SL1.31
Lineage: Bacteria
Description: bacterial SSU rRNA
Rfam family: Bacterial small subunit ribosomal RNA
Source: RNAcentral